RNAcentral lists this ribosomal RNA (490 nucleotides) under uncultured bacterium. RNAcentral describes it as "partial 16S ribosomal RNA". It matches the Rfam family "Bacterial small subunit ribosomal RNA", at positions 30 to 507 of the family's 1533-position model. The record is from RNAcentral.
AUUGAACGCUGGCGGCAGGCCUAACACAUGCAAGUCGAACGGUAACAGGAAGAAGCUUGCUUCUUUGCUGACGAGUGGCGGACGGGUGAGUAAUGUCUGGGAAACUGCCUGAUGGAGGGGGAUAACUACUGGAAACGGUAGCUAAUACCGCAUAACGUCGCAAGACCAAAAAGGGGGACCUUCGGGCCUCUUGCCAUCGGAUGUGCCCAGAUGGGAUUAGCUAGUAGGUGGGGUAACGGCUCACCUAGGCGACGAUCCCUAGCUGGUCUGAGAGGAUGACCAGCCACACUGGAACUGAGACACGGUCCAGACUCCUACGGGAGGCAGCAGUGGGGAAUAUUGCACAAUGGGCGCAAGCCUGAUGCAGCCAUGCCGCGUGUAUGAAGAAGGCCUUCGGGUUGUAAAGUACUUUCAGCGGGGAGGAAGGGAGUAAAGUUAAUACCUUUGCUCAUUGACGUUACCCGCAGAAGAAGCACCGGCCAACUCCGUG